AACGAACGCUGGCGGCAUGCCUAACACAUGCAAGUCGAACGAAGCCUUCGGGCUUAGUGGCGCACGGGUGCGUAACACGUGGGAAUCUGCCCUUUGGUUCGGAAUAACAGUUAGAAAUGACUGCUAAUACCGGAUAAUGACGUAAGUCCAAAGAUUUAUCGCCGAAGGAUGAGCCCGCGUAGGAUUAGGUAGUUGGUGGGGUAAAUGGCCCACCAAGCCGACGAUCCUUAGCUGGUCUGAGAGGAUGAUCAGCCACACCGGGACUGAGACACGGCCCAGACUCCUACGGGAGGCAGCAGUGGGGAAUAUUGGACAAUGGGCGAAAGCCUGAUCCAGCAAUGCCGCGUGAGUGAUGAAGGCCUUAGGGUUGUAAAGCUCUUUUACCAGGGAUGAUAAUGACAGUACCUGGAGAAUAAGCUCCGGCUAACUCCGUGCCAGCAGCCGCGGUAAU
RNAcentral lists this ribosomal RNA (451 nucleotides) under uncultured bacterium. RNAcentral describes it as "bacterial SSU rRNA". It matches the Rfam family "Bacterial small subunit ribosomal RNA", at positions 29 to 524 of the family's 1533-position model. The record is from RNAcentral.